UAACAGGAUUAGAUACCCUGGUAGUCCAUGCCGUAAACGUUGGGCACUAGGUGUGGGGGACAUUCCACGUUUUCCGCGCCGUAGCUAACGCAUUAAGUGCCCCGCCUGGGGAGUACGGCCGCAAGGCUAAAACUCAAAGAAAUUGACGGGGGCCCGCACAAGCGGCGGAGCAUGCGGAUUAAUUCGAUGCAACGCGAAGAACCUUACCAAGGCUUGACAUGAACCGGAAAGGCGUAGAAAUACGUCCCCCACUUGUGGUCGGUUUACAGGUGGUGCAUGGUUGUCGUCAGCUCGUGUCGUGAGAUGUUGGGUUAAGUCCCGCAACGAGCGCAACCCUCGUUCUAUGUUGCCAGCACGUGAUGGUGGGGACUCAUAGGAGACUGCCGGGGUCAACUCGGAGGAAGGUGGGGAUGACGU
RNAcentral lists this ribosomal RNA (417 nucleotides) under uncultured bacterium. Its description in RNAcentral is "bacterial SSU rRNA". It matches the Rfam family "Bacterial small subunit ribosomal RNA", at positions 770 to 1185 of the family's 1533-position model. The record is from RNAcentral.